AUUGAACGCUGGCGGCGUGCCUAACACAUGCAAGUCGAGCGGCAGCGCGGGAGCAAUCCUGGCGGCGAGCGGCGGACGGGUGAGUAACGCUUGGGAAUCUGCCUGUUAGUGGGGGACAACCCGGGGAAACUCGGGCUAAUACCGCAUACGCACUACGGUGGAAAGCCGGGGACCGCAAGGCCUGGCGCUAACAGAUGAGCCCAAGUCGGAUUAGCUAGUUGGUAGGGUAACGGCCUACCAAGGCGACGAUCCGUAACUGGUCUGAGAGGACGACCAGUCACACCGGAACUGAGACACGGUCCGGACUCCUACGGGAGGCAGCAGUGGGGAAUAUUGGACAAUGGGGCGCAAGCCUGAUCCAGCCAUGCCGCGUGAGUGAUGAAGGCCUCGGUGUAAG
This 397-nucleotide ribosomal RNA is filed under the name uncultured bacterium. RNAcentral's name for it is "bacterial SSU rRNA". It matches the Rfam family "Bacterial small subunit ribosomal RNA", at positions 29 to 429 of the family's 1533-position model. The record is from RNAcentral.